This 729-nucleotide ribosomal RNA is filed under the name uncultured bacterium. RNAcentral describes it as "bacterial SSU rRNA". It matches the Rfam family "Bacterial small subunit ribosomal RNA", at positions 60 to 787 of the family's 1533-position model. The record is from RNAcentral.
AGUCGAACGAAGCACUUUGAUCGAUUUCUUCGGAUUGAAAUUUUAGUGACUGAGUGGCGGACGGGUGAGUAACGCGUGGGUAACCUGCCUCACACAGGGGGAUAACAGUUGGAAACGGCUGCUAAUACCGCAUAAGCGCACAGUACCGCAUGGUACAGUGUGAAAAACUCCGGUGGUGUGAGAUGGACCCGCGUCUGAUUAGCUAGUUGGCAGGGCAACGGCCUACCAAGGCGACGAUCAGUAGCCGACCUGAGAGGGUGACCGGCCACAUUGGGACUGAGACACGGCCCAAACUCCUACGGGAGGCAGCAGUGGGGAAUAUUGCACAAUGGGGGAAACCCUGAUGCAGCGACGCCGCGUGAGCGAAGAAGUAUUUCGGUAUGUAAAGCUCUAUCAGCAGGGAAGAAGAAAUGACGGUACCUGACUAAGAAGCACCGGCUAAAUACGUGCCAGCAGCCGCGGUAAUACGUAUGGUGCAAGCGUUAUCCGGAUUUACUGGGUGUAAAGGGAGCGCAGGCGGAAGGCUAAGUCUGAUGUGAAAGCCCGGGGCUCAACCCCGGUACUGCAUUGGAAACUGGUCAUCUAGAGUGUCGGAGGGGUAAGUGGAAUUCCUAGUGUAGCGGUGAAAUGCGUAGAUAUUAGGAGGAACACCAGUGGCGAAGGCGGCUUACUGGACGAUAACUGACGCUGAGGCUCGAAAGCGUGGGGAGCAAACAGGAUUAGAUACCC